AGAGGAGUAGGCCCCACCGCGUUAAGUGCUGACGGAACGGAAUGUGAACGUCGGACGAAGACUCAGUCGCGAUGGUGGGGCCGCAUUCGCCUAA
Molecule: non-coding RNA, 94 nt
Filed under: Lacticaseibacillus nasuensis
Lineage: Bacteria; Bacillati; Bacillota; Bacilli; Lactobacillales; Lactobacillaceae
Also listed under: 1 other name
Description: Lactobacillus nasuensis THF-I sequence
Rfam family: THF (Tetrahydrofolate) riboswitch aptamer
About the family: THF riboswitch presents a pseudoknot that joins P1-P2 and the loop of P3 and two THF binding.
Source: RNAcentral